This 659-nucleotide ribosomal RNA is filed under the name Vibrio sp. PASCdS102. RNAcentral describes it as "bacterial SSU rRNA". It matches the Rfam family "Bacterial small subunit ribosomal RNA", at positions 115 to 770 of the family's 1533-position model. The record is from RNAcentral. Lineage: Bacteria; Pseudomonadati; Pseudomonadota; Gammaproteobacteria; Vibrionales; Vibrionaceae.
CCCUAGGAAAUUGCCCUGAUGUGGGGGAUAACCAUUGGAAACGAUGGCUAAUACCGCAUAAUGCCUACGGGCCAAAGAGGGGGACCUUCGGGCCUCUCGCGUCAGGAUAUGCCUAGGUGGGAUUAGCUAGUUGGUGAGGUAAGGGCUCACCAAGGCGACGAUCCCUAGCUGGUCUGAGAGGAUGAUCAGCCACACUGGAACUGAGACACGGUCCAGACUCCUACGGGAGGCAGCAGUGGGGAAUAUUGCACAAUGGGCGCAAGCCUGAUGCAGCCAUGCCGCGUGUGUGAAGAAGGCCUUCGGGUUGUAAAGCACUUUCAGUCGUGAGGAAGGUAGUGUAGUUAAUAGCUGCAUUAUUUGACGUUAGCGACAGAAGAAGCACCGGCUAACUCCGUGCCAGCAGCCGCGGUAAUACGGAGGGUGCGAGCGUUAAUCGGAAUUACUGGGCGUAAAGCGCAUGCAGGUGGUUUGUUAAGUCAGAUGUGAAAGCCCGGGGCUCAACCUCGGAAUUGCAUUUGAAACUGGCAGACUAGAGUACUGUAGAGGGGGGUAGAAUUUCAGGUGUAGCGGUGAAAUGCGUAGAGAUCUGAAGGAAUACCGGUGGCGAAGGCGGCCCCCUGGACAGAUACUGACACUCAGAUGCGAAAGCGUGGGGAGCA